UGCAUCUGAAAUCAGGCAAGAUCACCCGCUGAAUUUAAGCAUA
RNAcentral lists this ribosomal RNA (43 nucleotides) under Begonia fenicis. RNAcentral describes it as "partial 28S ribosomal RNA". Lineage: Eukaryota; Viridiplantae; Streptophyta; Magnoliopsida; Cucurbitales; Begoniaceae. The record is from RNAcentral.